GGGGCUGUAGCUCAACUGGGAGAGCGCUUGCAUGGCAUGCAAGAGGCUGGCGGUUCAAUUCCGCUUAGCUCCA
Molecule: transfer RNA, 73 nt
Filed under: Blochmannia endosymbiont of Camponotus sp. C-003
Lineage: Bacteria; Pseudomonadati; Pseudomonadota; Gammaproteobacteria; Enterobacterales; Enterobacteriaceae
Also listed under: 1 other name
Description: tRNA-Ala
Rfam family: tRNA
About the family: Transfer RNA (tRNA) molecules are approximately 80 nucleotides in length. Their secondary structure includes four short double-helical elements and three loops (D, anti-codon, and T loops).
Source: RNAcentral